RNAcentral lists this ribosomal RNA (510 nucleotides) under uncultured bacterium. RNAcentral describes it as "bacterial SSU rRNA". It matches the Rfam family "Bacterial small subunit ribosomal RNA", at positions 791 to 1301 of the family's 1533-position model. The record is from RNAcentral.
UAGUCCACGCCGUAAACGAUGUCAACUAGCCGUUGGGAGGGUUACCUCUUAGUGGCGCAGCUAACGCGGUAAGUUGACCGCCUGGGGAGUACGGUCGCAGGGUUAAAACUCAAAUGAAUUGACGGGGGCCCGCACAAGCGGUGGAGCAUGUGGUUUAAUUCGAUGCAACGCGAAGAACCUUACCUACUCUUGACAUCUACAGAAGCCAGCGGAGACGCAGGUGUGCCUUCGGGAACUGUAAGACAGGUGCUGCAUGGCUGUCGUCAGCUCGUGUUGUGAAAUGUUGGGUUAAGUCCCGCAACGAGCGCAACCCUUAUCCUUGUUUGCCAGCACGUAAUGGUGGGAACUCCAGGGAGACUGCCGGUGAUAAACCGGAGGAAGGUAAGGAUGACGUCAAGUCAGCAUGCCCCUUAUGCUCUGGGCUACACACGUGCUACAAUGGCCGUGACAAAGAGUUGCUACUUUGUGAAAACAAGCUAAUCUCAUAAACGCGGCCUCAGUUCGGAUUGC